RNAcentral lists this small RNA (28 nucleotides) under Bombyx mori (domestic silkworm). RNAcentral's name for it is "ovarian small RNA-22972". The record is from RNAcentral. Lineage: Eukaryota; Metazoa; Arthropoda; Insecta; Lepidoptera; Bombycidae.
UAGUCACAUACGAUCUGUCGUCAUUGAC